This 507-nucleotide ribosomal RNA is filed under the name uncultured bacterium. RNAcentral's name for it is "partial 16S ribosomal RNA". It matches the Rfam family "Bacterial small subunit ribosomal RNA", at positions 28 to 506 of the family's 1533-position model. The record is from RNAcentral.
GACGAACGCUGGCGGCGUGCCUAAUACAUGCAAGUCGAACGCUUCUUUCCUCCCGAGUGCUUGCACUCAAUUGGAAAGAGGAGUGGCGGACGGGUGAGUAACACGUGGGUAACCUACCCAUCAGAGGGGGAUAACACUUGGAAACAGGUGCUAAUACCGCAUAACAGUUUAUGCCGCAUGGCAUAAGAGUGAAAGGCGCUUUCGGGUGUCGUUGAUGGAUGGACCCGCGGUGCAUUAGCUAGUUGGUGAGGUAACGGCUCACCAAGGCCACGAUGCAUAGCCGACCUGAGAGGGUGAUCGGCCACACUGGGAUUGAGACACGGCCCAGACUCCUACGGGAGGCAGCAGUAGGGAAUCUUCGGCAAUGGACGAAAGUCUGACCGAGCAACGCCGCGUGAGUGAAGAAGGUUUUCGGAUCGUAAAACUCUGUUGUUAGAGAAGAACAAGGACGUUAGUAACUGAACGUCCCCUGACGGUAUCUAACCAGAAAGCCACGGCUAACUACGU